AGGAAAUAGAGCUAGACUCACUGCAGUGGAAAGAGACUCAGCUUGGAAGAUGUGAGCAAUCCAACCUCUCUGGAUCAUUCAUACACAAAACCAUUGGACAAGGGACACAGCCUGAGGCCAAGAGGCAUGGAGAGUCUCUGAAGAAUGAAUUGUUUCAUCAGAAUUUACAGAAAUUCAGAGGACCACUGUCCCAGGACUCUUGAGCAGAGGCCCAGGACCACUGCCACAACUCCAGACUGCCUCUGGCCACUCCAGACUGCCACUGGCUGCACAGGGAUCUGGAUCCCCAUGGCAGAGGUGCCCAUGCUAUAAAGGC
RNAcentral lists this long non-coding RNA (316 nucleotides) under Heterocephalus glaber (naked mole-rat). Its description in RNAcentral is "lncRNA (ENSHGLG00100033455.1)". The record is from RNAcentral. Lineage: Eukaryota; Metazoa; Chordata; Mammalia; Rodentia; Bathyergidae.